GUCGAACGUUGUUUUCGGGGAGCUGGGCAGAAGGAAAAGAGGCUCCGGUACCAACUUGUCUCGCCCUGCUUCAAAGCUACAGGGCNNNNGUACCCUUGAUUUCAGCCCUCCGUUUGCUGGAAUCGGAUAGUUGAGAACAAAGUGGC
RNAcentral lists this ribosomal RNA (146 nucleotides) under Yucca filamentosa (Adam's needle). RNAcentral describes it as "partial small subunit ribosomal RNA". Lineage: Eukaryota; Viridiplantae; Streptophyta; Magnoliopsida; Asparagales; Asparagaceae. The record is from RNAcentral.